Molecule: non-coding RNA, 299 nt
Filed under: Paenibacillus sp.
Lineage: Bacteria; Bacillati; Bacillota; Bacilli; Caryophanales; Paenibacillaceae
Description: T-box sequence
Rfam family: T-box leader
About the family: Uncharged tRNA acts as the effector for transcription antitermination of genes in the T-box leader family. T-boxes are found upstream of many aminoacyl-tRNA synthetase genes and some amino acid biosynthetic genes usually in Gram-positive bacteria. The anticodon of a specific tRNA base pairs to a specifier sequence within the T-box motif, and the NCCA acceptor tail of the tRNA base pairs to a conserved bulge in the T-box antiterminator hairpin.
Source: RNAcentral
UGAAGAACGAUGAACGGGAAUAGUAGGAUGACAUGCCCUUCAGAGAGUGGAAUUGCUGCGCUGAGAGAUUCCGCAGGAUGCUGUUUCAACCGAAGUCGCCCGGGAGUUGCCUGCUUGAUCCCGUCCGCUUUUUGCGCCGGGUUAGGGCAUGGCCGGCUGCAGCCGUUAUCUGCAUGAAGUGUCGCGUGCAUGAAGGCAUCCGUCCCCGGAGGACGGCCGCCGGAGAGAUCUGGCGUAGAAGGUUGACCAUGGCGCGAAACAAAGGUGGUACCGCGAAAGAACAGCCUUUCGUCCUUUGA